RNA transcript from Thrips palmi, 4354 nucleotides. It is a transcript of the gene named sphingomyelin phosphodiesterase, with no coding region annotated. NCBI's taxonomy places the organism in Eukaryota, Metazoa, Arthropoda, Insecta, Thysanoptera, Thripidae. The transcript is spliced from 14 exons. The record is from RefSeq and is a predicted model, not a curated record.
CCUGCCCUGCCCAGCCCAGUCAGUUGGCCGGGAAGGAGCAGCAUGGAAGGGCGGAGCGAGACAGAGACGGAAACAGUGGCAGGAGUGCGCAGCCUGUAGACGUACAAGUGCCGAGUGGGGCGGCAAGGCUCGUCUCGCGACUUGCCAGUGACCAGUGCGACUCAGUGCCACCCGCGUGCACGCUGCCGAACGGCAAAACGGAUACUAAGGAUUUCCACCCCACUGCUUUCUUUGAGACGGGGCCCUGUCGCCGUGCCUCGUCGGCAUGGCGUCCCUCCGGGCGUCCCUCAGGGCGUCCCUCAGGGCCCUGCGCCUGCCGGCCGCCGCGGCCGCCGCCCGGGUUACGCCAUGAGCGCCACGAGCGCCAUGAGCACUCGCUGAGGCUGCCGCCAGUCCGCCCGGCCGCCCGCCCGGCCGCCACUUCCUCAGGAGUGUGACAGACCGGCCAGACACCGAAGACCACGAUGCGGCCGCCGCCGCCAGUCGCCGCCCCCGCCAUGACCCCCUCCUCCGUCGUCAUCGUCCUGCUGCUGGUGCUGGCCGCGUGCGUGUCAGGGGGGCCUGUGGCGCGGCAGAUCGCCAGGAACGUCGUCCCCGCCGGUAGCCAGACGUUCCAGGCGUUCGCGGCGGAGGGGGUGGUGACGGCGGAGGGGCUGGGGGCGGCGGAGGGGGCAGGCCGGGCGCCGCCCCUCGACACCGCUACCGCCACCGCCGACGAGCCCUUCGCCACCGAGGACGACUGGGACGUGACGGGGCUGACGGGGGCCGGGCUGCCCGGCGAGCGCUACCAGGUCGUCGAGGGGGACGUCGUCGUCGGCGACUCCAACGACGUGGACGUGGUGCCGGCGGUGCAGAGCGCCGUGCUGCGGCCACUCAACCGCACGCACGUGCUGCCCCUCCCCGGCGUCGUGUCGGCCCCGGCGGACGCGGCCUCGCCGUCGGACGCGCAGCUGGACGUGGAGACGGCGCGCCAGUUCGAGCUGCUCCGCGUCAACUACACCAGCCUGCUGGCCGACCUGGAGGGCACCGCCUGGGCCGAGGACAUGCGCGCGGGCCGAGGGCUGCCGCGCAUCGUGGACAAGGCGCUGUGGCUCUUCGACCUGAAGCAGGUCGUGCAGGAGAUCGAGACGAGCGUCAUGUCCAAGGUGUCGUGCACGGCGUGCAAAGCAGGUGUUGGUCUUAUCCAGCAUUACAUCCGUGGAGGCAAAAGCAGAGAUGACAUCAAUAAAAUUGUCUACCAAUUUUGUGUUAGUUUAAAAAUUCAGUCGCCUCGAGUGUGUGAGGGUCUUACUGAACUGUUUGGGGGAGAAGUUGUGCAUGUGUUGAAACGUGUUUCCCUUGGCCCGGAAGAAGUUUGCUCCUUUGUGAUUGGUGAUGCUUGUGGCGAUGUCUAUAAUCCAUUCCAUGAAUGGAAAGUGAUAUUUCCUCCAGUGCCCAAACCAGAAGUUCCUGAACCUAAAGUGCCUACAGAAGGAGCACCAUCAUUCAAAGUCCUUCAUUUGUCAGAUACUCAUUAUGACCCUUAUUAUCAAGAAGGAACAAAUGCAGAUUGCAAUGAACCACUUUGCUGUAGAUUGACUAACGGUCCUGCACUGUCCCCCCAAGCAGCAGCUGGUCGCUGGGGAGAUUACAGGAAAUGUGAUACACCGAAAAGGACUGUAGACCACAUGCUUCAACAUAUAGCAAGCACACAUCCCGACAUAGAUUACAUAAUUUGGACAGGUGAUCUCCCUCCUCAUGAUGUGUGGAAUCAAACAAGGGAAGAAAAUCUCUUCAUUCUGAAGGAAACUGUUGCUCAGAUGGCCCAGCUUUUCCCUGGAAUACCAAUAUUUCCUGCUUUGGGCAAUCAUGAAGCUGCCCCAGUCAACAGUUUUCCUCCACCAUUUGUUCAGAAUGACUAUUCUAUAAAUUGGCUGUAUGAUGAACUUGAUGCUCAGUGGCGGCAAUGGUUGCCAUCAAGUGUGUCUCGCACUGUGAGGAGAGGAGCGUUUUACAGUGUCCUUGUUCGACCUGGAUUUAGGGUCAUCUCAUUAAACAUGAACUACUGUAAUAAUAAAAAUUGGUGGCUUUUAUUAAACAGCACUGACCCAGCAAAGGAAUUACAGUGGUUUAUUUAUGAGCUCCAAAGUGCUGAGUUCAAUGAAGAGAAAGUACAUGUAAUUGGUCAUAUCCCUCCAGGACAUUCAGACUGUCUCAAAGUUUGGAGUAGAAACUUUUAUCGCAUUGUGAAUAGAUAUGAAAGUACAAUAGUCUCUCUCUUUUUUGGACACACCCAUUAUGACGAAUUUGAGCUGUUUUAUGACACUGAAGAUCUUGGAAGAGCAGUCAGUAUUGCAUACAUAGGACCAUCUGUUACACCCUAUUAUGAUCUCAACCCAGGGUACAGAAUUUACUAUGUUGAUGGAGAUCAUAAAGACACGACGAGGGCUGUAAUAGACCAUGAAACAUGGGUAAUGAACCUUAAGGAAGCCAACGCGUAUGAUUAUCCAAUUUGGUACAAGUUGUACUCAGCAAGAGCUGCAUACCAAUUGCCUUCUCUUCUGCCGCAAGAGUGGGAUACCCUUAUAAAUAAAAUUGCUCAAGAUGGACCUCUAUUUGAUAAUUAUUACAAGCACUAUUGGAAAAGUUCACCUAGGCGACCACCUUGUGAUGGUGAAUGUAAAAAGAGGAUGGUUUGUGACUUGAGAUCAGGAAAAUCUCAUGACCGGAAAGUACUAUGUCAAGAAAUCGAGAGUCGUAUUGAUGCAAAUACAAGAACAGGAUGGCGAGCUUGGAUCUAUAAUGGCUUGGCACUUUCGUAUGUUCCAUUUUUUUGGAUUGGGCAUGCUAUUCGAAAAGCUUUAAUUAUUGUCACUUACUGGUGGUCUUAACUAGAAAAAUAACCAUUUGUACUAUGGUAUAUUCCAUCUUUGAGACUGCAAAACAUCUUUCUUUUGCUUCAAGUUAAAAAUGAGACCCGAUUCUAGGACAAGCUGUUCAUUGAUGGGCCCAAUUAAUUUACGUUGCAGAUAGAUGCUAUUUAGUAACACCUUAAUUCGUAGCCUCUAAGGACACAAUUUUGUUUUACAUCAACUAAUAUUUAAUGGUGAUGGUGCACACGCACAACUGGUGUUGGUUUCUGUUUGUCACUGAUGGUGGUGAUGGAUUUUCUCAUCAAACUAUGUUGCCCAUCGCCCCUUUGGAUGUCAAUGAUCAUGGCAAUCCCAUCCUUCACUUACCAAAUACCAAAAUAUGUGUUUGGUCUAGGAUAAAUGCCUUUCAUCCCAUUUGAAAAGCUAGGAAAAAAUACAUUUGCCAUUCCAUUGUGUUUGAAUCUGCGCAUGAUUAUUGGAAUGGUUUGUGCAAGAACAAUGAGAGGCAUUUAAAUUGAGAGAAACAACAAGAGAAACAAUUUCAUGCAGACAGAAAAAGUGCUUCAAGAUUUGUAACACUUUCAGUAGGUUGUGUUACUUAGUGUACAUUAAUGAACAUGCUGCAUGUGCCAUGUCAUGCACGGUUGUGCCACAUAUAUCUCAUUUGAAGACCCUGCUAGAAGAAGCUUCUUUCAUGAAGAAAGAUACAACAACAAUUUGUGUUUUCCCUGACAACACUAGCCUUGGAACCGGGAACUCAAGUGUGAACAUGGGCUGUGAUGAUUCAUACAUUCUGUGUAUUGUUUUAAACAACAUGCCUGCAGAAUCUAACUUUUAACUGGUCUUGAUGAUAUAGGCAGUCUCAAUACCUGGAAAAUCUGCCCCAAAAAUUGUGCAAAAAUAAUGAUAAUAAUCUUGACUAGAUUGGAUAAUAAAACUUCCACUUGGCAAGUAAAUGUCUCUCUAUUUUUCAGCAAAAUUGCUCAAUCAAAAUCUGUAAAUAUUGUUAAUACCUUCUCUUAUGAAAGACCUGUGAAUUUAAUUUUUAAUUAAAAUCAAUUGUUGAUGUUGGUUUUGGAUAGUUAUUGUAGUUCUUGUCAGUCAAUGCAAAGAGAGGAAGAUAAUCAUAAGAAAAUGGAAUGUGUACACGCUAUGCUUUGUAUUACGAUUUGUACUUUUCUGUACAUGUGUAUAGAUGUAAUCAGGGAGACUUAAAUUCUUGCCACUGACAAUGCGAGUGUAUUGAGCGCCAUGGAGGGCUCAUUUGUCUUCCACAUCUUUUUUCUUCAGGGAAAUAUAACUAUAAUGUUAGCAGAUUGAGCCAAGCCCAUGAAUUAGGGGUGGAGCAAAAGCACAUGUUCUGGACAAAUAUUUGUUACUCUCGCUCCUCAGUUCUUCAUUUUCUGUCUUUGCUCUUGUAGUUGCAAUUCUAUUGUCACUAAAUUUAAACGCAAACCUCAAGGAGCAUAAAGGACUUAGUUACUCGGCGUAAGCUUAAGAUG